This 397-nucleotide ribosomal RNA is filed under the name uncultured bacterium. RNAcentral describes it as "partial 16S ribosomal RNA". It matches the Rfam family "Bacterial small subunit ribosomal RNA", at positions 523 to 918 of the family's 1533-position model. The record is from RNAcentral.
AUACGUAGGGAGCAAGCGUUGUCCGGAAUUACUGGGCGUAAAGGGCGCGUAGGCGGGUAUUUAAGUCAGGUGUGAAAACUCCGAGCUCAACUUGGAGAUUGCACUUGAAACUGGGUAUCUUGAGGGCAGGAGAGGAAAGUGGAAUUCCUAGUGUAGCGGUGAAAUGCGUAGAUAUUAGGAGUAACACCAGUGGCGAAGGCGACUUUCUGGACUGUACCUGACGCUGAGGCGCGAAAGCGUGGGUAGCGAACGGGAUUAGAUACCCCGGUAGUCCACGCUGUAAACGAUGAAUACUAGGUGUAGGGGGUAUCGACCCCUUCUGUGCCGCAGUCAACACAAUAAGCAUUCCGCCUGGGGAGUACGGCCGCAAGGUUGAAACUCAAAGGAAUUGACGGGG